This is a long non-coding RNA of Saccostrea echinata, 334 nucleotides long. RefSeq lists it as uncharacterized. The transcript has 4 exons. Lineage: Eukaryota; Metazoa; Mollusca; Bivalvia; Ostreida; Ostreidae. The record is from RefSeq and is a predicted model, not a curated record.
UCGUGUUUAUGGUUGUAUUUUUCUAAUAUUUACUGUAAUUUGCAGAUUAGGUAAAUAAAUGAAACCAAACAGAGGAAACAACCAGAUAGUCGAAACGGGCAAAGAUGGUCCUAUUCUAAUGACUCCAUCAAGAAAACCGUAGCAAUUGUUACGAUCACCACCGGAUUGAUUAUACUGGUGUGGUGUCUAUACCUGUUGCAUGACAGAUUUUAUCACAGUCACUGAUUGCCUGGUCAGUAUGUGUGAUGAAGAAUCUGAAGACGGGGAUCUGAUAAUUAAAUUAUGCAUUUUCUCUUCAUACAUUUUUAAAGUACAAUAAAUUAUUAACAAAGUC